UUAAAGACUAUGAAGAGGAAGAGUAGAUAGGUUACUGUUCACAGAGAGAGAAACCCAUUGGCUGAAAGGUUUCUUGGAAAAGUUUUAUUGAAAACCACCUCUGAGUUGAGUACUGAAAUUAAGUAAGUAUAGUCCGUAUAUCUGCGUUAAAGAUGUUAAGUGAUAGAAGUAUUAAGAUGCUUUGCUUCUAUAAUUUGGGUGGAACCGCGAUUAUAAUCGUCCCUUUU
This 227-nucleotide non-coding RNA is filed under the name Clostridium amylolyticum. RNAcentral's name for it is "T-box sequence". It matches the Rfam family "T-box leader". Rfam says of the family: Uncharged tRNA acts as the effector for transcription antitermination of genes in the T-box leader family. T-boxes are found upstream of many aminoacyl-tRNA synthetase genes and some amino acid biosynthetic genes usually in Gram-positive bacteria. The record is from RNAcentral. Lineage: Bacteria; Bacillati; Bacillota; Clostridia; Eubacteriales; Clostridiaceae.